GCAGCUGGCCUCUGAAGACCUGGGAGCUGAGGUUGCCGCCCUGAAGGAGCUGGAGGUGGACAAGCCCCUUUUGGGGAAUUCAGCUGGGCAUGUGUUGGGGUGACAGUAGAUCACUGGAACGAGUGGGACUAUUUAAAAGAGGAAGAGGCAAAGACUGCUGUGAUUUGGAUUUGGUGGGCUCAAAGAGUCAUCUGAAAACCCUAGUAAGACAAAGAAUUUGAAAGAGAGAAGUGUAUCUAUAAUAUAUAAAUAGAAGUCUUUGGGACAUGGGUGAAGACUUCAUAUAUGGAUAUAUAGCUCACAGCUGGUAAGCCAUCACGAAGCUGGUGAUGUAGUAAAGGCAGAAUUUUAAACAGAAUUUUAUGAAUGUUUUAUUUUCAUGAGAAACGUCAUGGAAGGGGAAAGAUUUUGGGGGUAAGAUUUGUUUCCUUUUAUGUGUUAUGUGGGAAUAACUACACUUGAACUCCAAGCUAGUAUGAAGAUUCUUAGAGCGCCUGUCAAAGCCCGUUAUCUCAAUACACCCAUAAUAAAGAACAGAGGUCUGAAGUUUUCACAGACCCUUUGUGUCCUCAUUAUGUGACUUUAGGCAAGUCCCCUUGUCUUCCUAAGUCACAGUUUGUUGUCAUCUGUCAAGUGAGAAUGGUAUCAACUCACAGAGUUGCUGAGAAUAUAAAAUAAUAUGGUCCAUAAAUAACCCAGUGCUUGGCUCAUGUAAGACCUCAAUUAAUUCUUGCUUUUGCCAAAACAACAAUUAAAAUAUACAUACUGCAAAAUGUCAGGCAUAUAGCAAAUGUGCAUGAAAAAUCAGAUUCUCUUUCUUGUAAAUAUAUGCUUCCUUUUUUUCUUUCCUUUUCUUUUUUUUUUUUUUUAUUUUUUUGAGACAGAAUCUCGCUGUGUCCCCCAGGCUGGAGUGCGUGGCGCCAUCUCGGCUCACUGCAACCUCUGCCUCCUGGGUUCAAGUGAUUCUCCUUUCUCAGCCUCCCAACUAGCUGGGAUUACAGGUGUGAGCCACCAUGCUCGGCUAAUUUUUGUAUUUUUAUCAGAGACGGGAUUUCACCAUAUUGGUCAGGCUGGUCUCAAACUCCUGACCUCAGGUGAUCCACCCGUCUUGGCCUGGGAUUACAGGUGUGAGCCAUUGCACCCAGCCCGUGCUUUCUAUUUUAAAGGAAAGUAAUAUGUGUAAGGUUAAUUCAAGGCAUACAAGUGUCACUAAAGAUUUUGAUCUUCAUUCAACCACUGAUUACGGCCUUGUACGGAUGGACUUUCAGCAGCAGGAACCCAAAAUCAUUGGUGAAAUAGGAAAGCUAUUGUACAGAUAUUAGAAAAAUAAGACCUUCACAGUCAUCAGAAAAGUUAUCACUUAAUGUCAUGUGUCAUCAGUCCUUUCUUGUGAUUGAUUAUGUUUGUAUACAUGCACUUGAAAUGUGUUUUUAAAAGAGUAUUAUAAGAGAUAUUUUUCCAGUAAGUACAAUAAGCAUUCAAUAGUAGAACAAAUAGAACAUUGAUAUCUCAUUAUUAGUAUUGCUCACAUGUGUAUUAUGAGGCAGAAUUAAAGCUGAAAUGCAAUAAGAGCCAUAUUUUAUCAUAAUAGAUAUUUUUCAUUUUCUGAAAUAAUAUAAUAAAAUAAUGUGGUUGGUUAAAGUAUGUACACACAGGCUAUCAAUUAAGAUGUUUUAAAUUUAAUUAAAUAUUAAAUAAUAAAAGCCACAAGGGGAAGUAAGGGAAGUAAGACAAUUCUUUCUUUAACAUACAACACAUUUAAAUGUUUUCUGAUAAUUAUAGAAAUAUCAAAAUCAGAUCAAUCUUCAUACCUCAGAAAAUUAAAUGAUUAAAUACUGGAGACUAUUAAAACAAAUAAAACUGUUUAUUCCACAACUUUGCACAGCUAAAAAAAAAUCUUCUAUCAUGUCUAGAAACAUGUUUCUGACAUAUGCACACCUCACCAGCAUAUCUCAGGUUAUUAUACACCUCCAACCACAGCCUCACGGUGGCAGGCAGUCAGUAAGAUGGACCCCAGUGAUCCCUGCCUCCUGGUAUUCACAGUCUAGGGUAAUCUCCUUCCCUUGAGUGUGAGCCUGUGGCUUACUUCUAACCAAUAAGAGUACAGCAAAAGCAAUGGGAUGUCAAUUCUGUGAGUAUGUAAAAUUGUAACUUCCAUCUUGCAAGCCAACUCUCUUCUUUGCUGGCUUUCAUGACGCAAUAUACCAUGUUGGAGGGGCUCGCGUGGCGAAGAACUGAGAGGCCUGUAGGAACAAAGUCCAAUAGCCAGGUAGGAAGGAGUCCCUCAGUCCCACAACCCAAGGAAACUGAAUUCUGUCAACUAACACGCAUGUAAGUGAGCUUGGAAGUGACUUCUUCCCCAAGUGAGUCUUCAGAUGAGGUCCUAGCCAACUUUUUGAUUGCAGCUUGUGACAGACCCUGAAGCAAAGGACUCAGCUAAGUUGUGUCCUAAUUCCUCCACUGUGAGAAAAUAAAUGUGUGUUUUUUAAAAUGCUAAAUUUGUGGUAAUUUCUUAUUCAGUAAUAGAUAGCUAAUACAUGCGUGUACAUACAAACACACGCACACACACUGUAUUUGGCUUUCACACUGAGGAGAACACAGUUAGUAGGCCCUUUUCAUGUGGCUUUUAAGGAGGCAUAAUUACUUUUCUUCGUCUGUGAUCCACCUUUGUGUUCUUCAGGUUCUUUUCCAGGCCUUUGCCCCGAGUGUGUGGGGGACCAAAGGGACGUCAUGCUAUAUGGAUGGUAUUGCAAAUUCAUAUCCUUGGAUCUGAAAGUAGUCCUAGAACAUAUCCUAAGGAGAUCAUCUAUCAAGAUUAGAGAAUUUCCUUCAUGAUGUUGUUUAUCGUGGCAAAACUAGGAACAACCUGAAUACCAGUCCCUCCAAGAAGCUAUUGAAUAAUAUGGGUAUCCCUGUUCAGGAAAAAUGCAAACAAACCACUAAAAAGAGUAAAAUAAUCUUUAUUGAUAUGAAAAGAUGUUUAAUGUUUACUAUUACAUUUUUAAAAGAAGUUAAAAAUCUCAUUAAAAACUAGUUUAAAAUCCACUCUUAUUCCAUGCUUGUAUUAUAGAUAAUAUAUAUGUAGUUUUUUUUAAGUAGAAAAAUUUCUGGAAAAACACUUAUUAAAAUGCUAUUUGUUUUCUAUGAAUAGAGUAAAACCAGAUAAGUGAAAGAAAAUACCCGUGUUUUCUAUAUUUUCUACGAUGUUUAUUCCUGAAUAGAUGUUUCAAGGCUUUCAUUAUGUUCAUAGAUUAAUUGAAGUGAAUGGAAACUGUUUCUUAGACAACCUAAAAUAUAUCCCAAUUCCAAAGUCCAGGUCUGUCUUCAUUGCUUCGAGUGCAGUUGUAUGAAAUACUUCUCAGUGAGGCCAAAUUUCUUAAUAAUGAUUAAUUCCAGUUUCAUUUUUCACCCUCUUCAUUCCAUUUGAGAAGAGUAGUGGAAAGGAGUAUGGUACCAUACCCCACACUUUAGACCUAUGGUCUUGUAGAACUUCUUAGGGAUCUACUUUGAUAAAAAUUUAAUUUGCUGGUUACAUCAGAUGAUGUCACACAGUUAAUGAGCAUUCUCUCCUAUGCUGUACCUUCUCUGUUCUACUAAUAUAGCUAUGGUCAAUUUUUCUAUCAUGGAGAAGAAUCUGUGGAUAACUCCUACUAUUUUUCUGGAAGUAAAAAUUUAACUGUUAUGUCGUAGAAAAUUCAAAUAUAUAUGAUUCCUUUGUAUAAACUAUGUACACAUAUGAUUAAUCCAUUGAUUAACACCUGUUUUCAGUAAUGUUAAUGCCAUCUUGAUCAUAACAUUUAAUUAAAAGGUGACAAAUGUUAGUUAAGUAAGCUGGAUACUGUACUCAAUAAAUAUAUAUGCUUUUAGAAACAUUAAAACAC
RNAcentral lists this long non-coding RNA (3881 nucleotides) under Homo sapiens (human). RNAcentral describes it as "HSALNT0225316". Lineage: Eukaryota; Metazoa; Chordata; Mammalia; Primates; Hominidae. The record is from RNAcentral.